GCCGAGAUAGCUCAGUUGGGAGAGCAGCAGACUGAAGGAAGGCAAGCCGGGUUCUGAAGGCCGAGCGUUCAAUCCGCUCUCUUGGCA
Fomitopsis schrenkii is the source of this 87-nucleotide non-coding RNA. The record is from the annotation of a GenBank genome assembly. Lineage: Eukaryota; Fungi; Basidiomycota; Agaricomycetes; Polyporales; Fomitopsidaceae.